AAAAUAUUUGAAGGAUUUUCAAUGCAUUAUUGUAAUAAGUCACUGUUUUAUUAAAAGCGAUUUUAUUUGAGAAUAUUCCUUUAUUCUUUUAUUUGUUUCAGUGAUUUGACUGUGGCCAUGCUGGAGCACUACUUUUAGUCGAACAAAUCAACCCCAGGACUUAUUCUUUGUAAGCCUAGUACUUAUUUUAUCGAUCUCUUUUGCUAAACCACUAUCUUAUGGGGACGUGAAUGCACCAAGAUCGGUUGUUAAGUGAUGGUAGUGAGGGAUAAACACAGACACACAAACACACAUACAUGUAUCAAUAUAUAUAUGAUGAGCUUCUUUCUGUUUUCAUCUACCAAAUCCAUUCAAAUCCAAGACUUUGGUUGGCCUGAGGCUAUAGUGGAAGACACUUGCCCAAGGUGCCAUGCAGUGGGACUGAACCCGGAACCAUGUGGUUGGUAAGCAAGUUACUUACCAUACACCCACUCCUGCGUAUAUAUAUAUAUAUAUAUAUAUUAUAUGUCAAGCUUCUUUCAGUUUCUGUCUACCAAAUCCACUCACAAAGCUUUGGUUGGCCUGAGGCUAUAGUGGAAUACACUUGCCCAAAGUGCCAUGCAGUGUGGAACGUUAGGCAAGUGCCUUCAACUAUGGCCUUGGACCAACCAAGGCCUUGUGGGUGGAUUUGCUUGAUGGAAACUGAAGGAAGCCCAUUCUAGAUGUGUAUGUAUAUAUAUAUUUGUGUGUGUGUGUGUGUGUGUAUUUACACACAUAUGUAUACAUAUUCUUUUAUUCUUUUAUUUGUUUCAGUCAUCUGACUAUGGCCAUGCUGGAGCAUCACCUUUUUAUUUGAACAAAAUGACCCCCAGGACUUAUUGUUUGUAAGCCUGGUACUUAUUCUAUUGGUCUCUUGCUGAACCACUAAGUGACAGGAACGUAAACACACCAACAUUGGUUGCCAAGCGAUGAUGGAGGAGGGAAGACAAAAACUAAUAGAUAUUUAUACACACCACACACACACAUAUGUAUAUGUGCGUAUGUGUAUAUAUAUAUAAAAUUAUAUGUGUAUAUAUAUAUAUAUAUAAUUAUAUGUAUGUAUGUGUGUGUGUGUGUGUGUGUGUGUGUGUUAUACAAUAGGUUUAUUUCAUUUUUUAUCUACCAUACCCUUUGGUUGGUGAGGCUAUAACAGAGGACCUUUGCCUAAAGUGCUGUGCAGUGGGACUGAACCUGAAAUUUUUUGCAGAUAGCCAUACAGUUUUCAGCUUCUCUGACAAAACUAAAAACUUAUACAAAUUGUAGAGCAGCACUGAGACCAAGUUGUUAAAUAAUAAAUAACGCAAUAAAGUGACAGACAAGACUUAGCACGCAAAUGAAAAUGCCAAGGAAUGACGAAGUCUUGUGACAGCCUUGCCUUAUUGGGUUUCACCAACAGUACACACCAUUUACCUUUCGGUAAAUGAUGUGUCAGUUGUCUUUGUUCAAAUGACUGCCUGCUGGCAUUUUACCAUUUUACCAUUUUACCAUUUUACUUUGUAGCUAGUUGAGAAAUAUAAAACUAUAUAUUACACAAAAAUGCGAGAUUUCUUAAGUUUGCAAUCGUUCUUGAAAAUAAUACUGCCUGAUAAGAGAAGGUAGUUGGAAGAUACACAACUUAUAUAUAUUGGUAUAUUUCAUAUACUACGCAUUUAAUUUGUGAUAAUGAUAUUUGGAGCUAAAGUAAAAUGAUAAAGAGCAAGCAUACUUUAAGCUAUAAGUAGAUUAACAUUGCAACUGUACUUGUAUAAAGUUCUUGAUAUCCUGCCACCAAAUUCAUUUGUUGUCCUGGAGUAUCAAUCACAAAUAUUUUACUUUCUACUUUAUCUGUAUAUGCCUAGGAAUUUGCUGCAAUUUUGUAGUUGAAAUAAAUUAAUUAACCCUUUUUUACCAUAGAUUCUGGCAUAGCUGUGUGGUAAGAAGUUUGUCUUGCAAUCACAUGGAUCCAGGUUCAGUCCCACUGUGUGGCACCUUGGGCAUGUAUUUUCUACUAUACUAAGGCCUUAUACUGAACAAAGCCUUGUGUGUGGAUUUGGUGGACAGAAACUGAAAGAAGGCGGUGAGCUGGCAGAAACAUUAGCACACCGGGCGAAAUGCUUUGCGGUAUUUCAUCUACUGCUACAUUCUGUGUUUAAAUUCCGCUGAGGUCGAUUUUGCUUUUCAUCUUUUCAGGGUCAAUAAAUUAAGUACCAGUUACGCACUGGGGUCGAUAUAAUCGACUUAAUCUGUCUGUCUGUCCUUGUUUGUCUCCUCUGUGUUUAGCCACAUGUGGGUAGUAAAGAAAUAGGUAUUUCGUCUGCCGCUACGUUCUGAGUUCAAAUUCCACUAAAGUUAACUUUUCCUUUCAUCCUUUUGGGGUUGAUUAAAUAAGUACCAGUUAUGCACUGGGGUUGAUAUAAUCGACUUAAUCCAUUUGUCUGUCAUUGUUUGUCCCUUCUGUGUGUAGCCCCUUGUGGGCAGUAAAGAAAUAAGAAACUGAAAGAAGCCCAUCAUAUAUGUGUGUGUGUGUGUGUGUGUGUGUGUGUGUGUUCCCCACUACUGUUUGACAACCAGUGUUGGUGUGUUUACAUCCCAGUAAUUUAAUGGCUCAACAAAAGAGACCAAAAGAAUAAAUAGCAGGCUUAAACACAAAUAAAUAGCAGGGGUUGAUUCAUUUGACCAAAAAUUCUUCAAGGUGGUUCUUCUAAUAAUUGAAACAAGGAAAAUAUGAAAGAUAUUUUCGCUGAAAAAUAUUGCCUUUGUUUCAAUUAUUUUGGAAAUAAUAAAGAAUUUAGUAAAAUAACUUUGUCCUUAUUUACCAAAUUUUUGGAGCAUAAAUUAAAACAAAAAUUUGAUGAAAGAUUUUAUUUCAGAUCAUUUUCUAUCAUAGAACCAACCAAAGGCAGUUUUGUGUUGUUUGUUAUCAAAAGGGUUAAAUUUCAAUUGAAUUGAAAAAUUGUAAAUUAUUCUGACCCAAAGUAUUCCAUUUCUCAAAUAUCCAUAAACAGGUGUGAUAUUGGUGAUAAGUAGACGACUAUUUUGUGCUUUCAAGUAAAUGACUAAACUUUGUAUGUGAUAUAUUUAAUGCUUUCAUUUAAUCUUUGACGUAUAAAAUCUGUUAGAACUCAAAGACCAAACAUGUUAUACUAUAAACAUAGACUCAUGCUGGUGCCAUGUUAAAAGCACCCAGCACACUGUAAAGUGGUUGGCAUUAGGAUGGGCAUCCAGUAAUAGAAACCAAGCGAAAUCAGACUGGAACCUGGUGCAGCUCUCUGGCUUGCCAGCUCUAGCCAAACCAUCCAACCCAUGCUAUAUUAUAUAAAAUUCUUUCUGUCUGUGUGUGUGUCUUCUGGGAUCUCGGGCAUCCUCCAUCUGAUUGCGCUCAAAUUUGAUAUGUAGAUACUAACGGUAUCAGGGCAUGUAUAAGUCUUGAAAAAAAUUAUAAAAAUCAAUUCCAGGUGAGAAUGCGAUCAAUAAAGCCGUGGGAACAUGGAAAAUGGACGUCAAAGGAUGGCGAUGCUGACGAUGAUAGACUAUAGACAUUAAUGUGAAAUGUAGGCCUUUAAUACAACUCAUACAGACAUCAAUAAGUGUAUACAGGAAAAAAACAUAUCUGACCGUGGGAAAAUAUUACUUUGCAUGGAAACAGGUGAGGAUUGGCAAUAGGAAGGACAUCCAGCCAUAAACAAAUCUGCUUCAACACGUUCCAUCUGACCCAUGCAAGCAGAGAAAAGUAGAAGUUAAACAAGGAUGAUCUCUGUGGAUAGUUAAGCGAAGCUCUCAAAUGCUUAUGAAAUCCUAACAUAAACUUAAAACUCAUGCAGCUGAUUACUCUUCUUCAAUCCAUGAAUAUAUUGUAUAUAAAGAUAUGUUAGUUAUAUCUGUCCUUUAUAUACACUGUUGACUAUUAACUAUAAAUAUAUUCAGAAAGAUUUUAUGAUACGAAAUAGUAUUGAAAUGAAACACUGUUAACAUAACUGACACAAGUUGAAUUCUCAAAGUGCCUAAAAUUCUUUUAUGACAAGACUAAUUAUUUCCAUUUGUUUGUCUAUCUAUCCAUACAUAUAUACAUAUAUAUAUAUAUAGAGAGAGAGAGAGAGAAAGAGAAAGACAGACAGACAGACGCACCCACAUCCUUCAAACCAUCCAUCCAUUCAACCAUGAUUAUAUAUACAUAUACAUAAAUACAAUAAGAUAUUAUAACAUAUUGACAUAUCAAAUAAAAUAUAUUAAAUAGAUUAGGUAGCUCAUUAACCACCUAUAUCAUAAUGUAUUUAAUACAUUUUAUUUAAUGAGUGGCUGUGUGGUAAGUAGCUUGCUUACCAGCUACAUGGUUCCGGGUUCGUUCCCACUGUGUGGCACCUUGGGCAAGUGUCUUAUACUAUAGCCUCGGGCCGACCAAAGCCUUGUGAGUGGAUUUGUUAGACGGAAACUGAAAGAAGCACAUCGUAUAUAUGUGUGUGUAUAUAUAUAUAUAUGUGUGUGUGUAUAUAUAUAUAUAUAUAUAUAUAUGUGUGUGUGUGUGUGUGUUUAUGCGUCUGUAUUUGUCCCCCACCCACCUACCCAACAUCGCUUGACAACCGAUGCUGGUGGGUUUAUGUCCCCGUAACUUAGCUGUUUGGCAAAAGAGAACGAUAGAAUAAGUACUAGGCUUACAAAGAAUAAGUCCUGGGGUCGAUUUGCCUGACUAAAAGCAGUGCUCCAGCAUGGCCACAGUCAAAUGACUGAAACAAGUAAAAGAGUAUAUAAGAAAGAGAGAGAAAGAGACAGAUGCACACACAUCCUUCAAAUCAUCCAUCCAUCCAUCUAACCAUGGUUACAUAUACAAUACAUUGUCUAAGACUCCAUGUCAGAAAAAAUAUGCAUUCGUAUACUUCUCAACAGAGUGGGUGUAUUAAUCAAAGUGUACAGUAUUAUGUAGCCAUUACAGCCAACCUUACCAAUCGGUUUCAUGGUGGGAGUUCUACAGAUUUGUACAAGGUUACAUAAUCAAGCUGUUAUCUAACACUCCAUUGAACCUCAAGAGCAAAACCCAUUGGUAAGAUCAGCUGUAAUGGAUAUAUAAUACAGAACACUUCAAGUAAUAUAUAUAUACAUAUAUAUAUGUGAAUAUGUAUAUGUAUAUAUAUAUAUAUAUAUAUAUAUAUAUAUAUAUAUUUUAUUAUAUGUUUUCCAGCUUCAGCUCUUGAGCUAUGGCCAUGCUGGGGCACCACCAUAUAUAUAUAUAUAUAAAUUAGAAAAAAACACCUUUUAUCAACUCAAAAUGAACAAUAAAUUACACCAUCUAGAAAAUUACAUAUAAUAGAAAUAUUAAAUAUAAAAUAACAAUAAUAUAUCGAUGAUUAAGUAAAUUGCAAAAUAAUAAAUAAAACGUAUGUAUUUGUUAAUAUAUAUAUAUAUAUAUAUUGGGUCAUCCCAUAAAUGAUGUGGUUUUUUCAGUUGCAUGGACUAAAAGUCAGAGGGGGACGGGAUAAACUACCUGCAUCAACUUGCUAUAAAAGCAGGCAGUAAUUUUACCUUUUAGUGAAGAAUGAACUUUGUUAUAACCUUGUAACCUUAUUCAUAGUGCAAGUUUUGAAGAGUGUAAUUUGAUUUUAACAGUUAUUUUUUAAAGCUAUAAUGGAAGUGACAAAGGAGCAUAUUCAACAUAUUCUGCUUUAUGAGUUCAAUAAAGGCAACAAUGCAACAGAAAGUCCAAGGAAUAUUAGUGUAGUAUAUGGGGAUUGGACAAUAAGCAUAAGCCAGCAUCAGUGGUGGUGCCAGGAAUUCCGAGCCAGAAACUACAGCCUAGAAGAUGAGUCUUGUCCUGGAAGAUCCUUAGAGCUUGAUGAGGAUGGCUUGCAAACCCUGAUGGAACAAAAUCGCACCGUAGCUGCUGAGGGACUAGCAAAGAAGCAUGUAUUUGGUCAUUCAACCUUUCAUUGACACCCGCGUGCCUUCAGAAAAGUCAGCAAAUUGGGUCAAUGUGUUCCUCAGAAACUUUCUGAAUCUAAUUGUUCACAGAGAGUAAAUGUGUGCUCUUCUUUGCUGUCACACCUCACAAAUGAUUUUUUUUGGACAAAAUAGUGACUGGUGACCUUUAGGAACAUUGUGUACUCUAGAACUAUCUUAUAUUUUGCAUUUGUGGCUCCGUUGGUGGCUAAUGAGCCCUGCUCUUGAUAAGUAUACCACGACUGUAGACAUUGCAAACCAAGCUUUCUCCAUUUACUACAUUAGCAGUAAGCUUUCAAGCAGCAUGCUUAAAUUCUUCAUGCAGAAUAAGUACUCUCUCAAAGGUGUCGACCCCCUCUUUAACCUGCUUCCUCCAUCUUCCUCCCAGUCAGUCUCCUGCAUAUCACAGGCCUUUAAUGAGGACUUGACACAGCCCUUAAAUCAUAGCCUUGGUUUCUGCCAGAGUCUCUUUCUACUAACAAGUUUCCCAUAUAGCAUCUUCUUAGGGAUCCUGCUAUCCUUCAUUCUAGUAAGGUGUCCAACCCAACAUAACCAGUGCUUGUGCACCAUUGCCUCAAUACUCAAGAUAUCAGCUGUCCUAAUUUUCUGAGGAAAGAUAAUGCUUUGCAAGAAACCAGAAACAUGAUUCCUAAGUUUUUGCAUGUCAUCUGCUGUAUGAGUGACUAAGUCACAGUCAUCUGCAUAAAGGAGGUCAUGAACAAGAGACUGGAAAACUUUUGAAUUGGGAGUAAAUCAGUGCAGAUUAACCCUUUUGUUACUAUCCUGGCCAAAACUGGCUCUGGCUCUGUGGUAAAAUGUCUUGUUUUCAUAAGUUUUGAAUUAAAAUAUUCCACCAAGCCUUAGUCACAAUUUACGUUCCUAACACUAGAUUAAUGAUAACUAAGUUAUUUUACUAAAUUCUUUGUUAUUUUAAAAAUAAUUGAAAGAAACACAGAGCAUCUCAAAAUAAAUACAGUAACAAAAGGGUUAAAGAGGCGGCUAGAAGAUUGAUACCUGACAUACAUUCCCAGAGAGCUAACCUUAGCAAAAGCAUGAGUAAAAGCAGUAGCAAAGUACAAAGAAAAGAGAGUUAGGGCAAGGAUGUCACCCUGCUUGACACCAUUCUCUAAAAGAAUGGGUCCUGCCAUAUCAUCACCAACAUUAACUCAAGCCUCUAUCCCAUCAUGAAAUGAUUUAAUUAUAGAUACAAAGUGAUACGGACAUCUAAGUUUGCCAAGCAUUUUCCAUAGCAAGGCCCUAUUCACAUUAUGAUGAUUGCCUUGGUUAAAUCAAUGAAUACCUGAACAAGAUCAAUAUUCUGCUCAUAGCACUUCUCCUGCAUCUGUCUUGCUGUGAAAAUCAUAUCCAUUGUCCCUUUACCAGAUCGGAAGGCACAUUGAGAUUCAGAUAGGACAUCAUUUAUGAGACACACAUUCAGGUGGGUAAGCGAGGAGCCUGGUCGGACAGGAAAGUAUGUAACUGAUAAUAAAAGUAAGAGGCUUGAUGCCUCACUUUUAUUGUAUUUUAUUGAAUUGUGUAAGAGGUUUAUUGCCUCGCUAUGAAACUUAAAAAGAACAAUGUUUUAGGGUAAACAGCAAUCGGCGGGCAUUGCUUGUUGCCCUCAUUUUUCACCAUUUCAUUUGUCAUUCAUAUCAUUAUGUGUGUGUCUAGCCCACAGCUUCCUUUUUGUGUAAGGCCCCUGUGGCCAAUUAAAUGAAUAAAAGAAUAUUUGCCAGAAUCUUGCCAGCAGCUGACAGUAGAGCAAUACCUCUGUAGUUACCACACAUUGUUCUGGCUCCUUUCCCUUUAUAGAGAGGAAGAAUAAUUACAUCCUUCCAGUCCUUAGGCAUUGCAUCAUCCCUCUAGACUACACUAAUAAGUUCCUGAAGGGACUGUAAUAUGUAAUCACCACCAAAUCGCAAGACCUCAGCACAAAUUCCAUUCCUUCCAGGUUCCCUACCAGGAUUCAAUUUACUUAUUGAUGUUAUUACCUCAUCUAUUGAGGGCAUGGAAUUUAUGGAGCCAAUAAUAGGUCUUUGUUGCAUAGUUUCAGUCACUGUUUCAUCCACAACUGACUCAUGGCUUAGGAGUUCAGAGAAGUGUUCAAUCCAGCGACUUGUGGUUUCUGUUGAUUUAGUAAAUAGGGUAGAAGACUCCUUGGAAAGCAAAGGAGUUGAUGCAGAGCUCUUAGGCCCAUAAACUUGCUUCAUUAGAUGGUAAAGCUUCUUGCUGUCAUUUGCAUCAGCAGCAGCCUGAACAUCACGAGCAAGAUCCUCCCAGUAAGUGUUCUUCAUCUUCCUGAGAGAUCACUGCAGUAGUGAUUUUACAUUGCUAUACUGGGCAAGUGCUAGAUUUCACUGCACAGCUGAAAGUCCUCUGUGCAGCAAUAUAUUGUGGGCAUGGUGCUUUACAAAACACACACAAACAUACACACACACACACACACACACACACACACACACACACACACACACACACACACACACACAUACAUACAUACAUACAUACAUACAUACAUACAUACAUACAUACAAGGAGAAAGCUAAUUCGAAGACUACAGAUCCCAUUCAACACUGGAAUUAUAAAAAUCUGUAAAACUUUCCAGAAGUUUAUCAUUUAAAUACAUAUGAGCAUGUCUAGAUAUGUGGCUAUAUGCAUGAGAAUACAUGCAUACAUAAAACAUACAUACAUACAAAGGAAAAUACUCUGUUGUUGAUGCUGAAACUCCAAUGAAGGAGCCUUGGAUCUAGGUUAGAAACUGGUUCUUUCUCUAUUGGCAAGAAAUCUUGGAAUAAACUGAAUAAUGACAUACAUGCAUACAUACAUACAUACAUACAUACAUACAUACAUACAUACAUACAUACAUACAUACAUACAUACAUACAUACAUACAUAGAAGCUAGCAAGCAGGCACAUAAACAAAUGUUUGUUUCUUUGUCAGUUAUAUAUAAAAACAAUUUACAGUUUAAUUUUUUAAUACUUUUUAGUAGAGUACAUUUUUAUUUAUUUUUACAUGGUAAAAGUUGAUAGUGACUUUGAAGUUUUGGCUCAUUUGCUGUCAUCAAACUGUCUAAUGACAGCAAGCAAGUUGAACCUUCAAAGGCACUGUCAAUCUUUUCCUAGUAAAAAUUUGGGCAAGUGUCUUCCACUAUAGCCGCGAGCUGACCAAAGGCUUGUGAGUGGAUUUGGCAGACGGAAACUGAAAGAAGCCCGUCAUAUAUAUAUGUAUGUAUCUGUGUGUGUAUAUGCUUGUGUGUCUAUGUUUGUCCCCCCAACAUCGCUUGACAACCGAUGCUGGUGUGGUUACGUCCCCAUAAUUUAGCAGUUUAGCAAAAGAGACUAAUAGAAUAAGUACUAGGAUUACAAAGAAUAAGUCCUGGGGUCAAUUUGCUCGACUAAAGGCAGUGCUCCAGCAUGGCCGCAGUCAAAUGACUGAAACAAGUAAAUGAGUAUAUAUAUAUAUGCACAACAUACACACACACACACACACACACACACACACACAAGAACUCUUGUUCAAAAUCUAUUUACUCUUAUGUUCCAUUUUGGAAAAAAAAUGUUUCCAUUACUCCUUUAGAAUUAAGCUAAUUUACCAUUCUAUAUUUAAUGAUGCCAUAUUAUAUCUUAUUAUGAGAAGUGAUAUGUCUGAUAAUUGCUGUACAGACAUAUCUGAGGAAAGAUAAUUUUUAAUUAUAUUCUGUUUACUGGAACCAUUCCACUGAUGCAUGACUAAUUGUCAAUUUUACAGUAUUUCUUUUCCAGCCUUGGUAGUUUAGCAACAUACAAGAUAAUGUUAAUCAUUUAAAGUUUGCUAUUUCCUGUUACCUCUAAGGUUUAAAAUUGCAUUAUAAUAAUUAAAGAAAAAAAUUCAACCUUCGUCUUCUCAGACACACUAUCAAUUUUCAAACCUUACUUUUGAAUAAAAAAUUGUGUCACUGAUAUCAAGAAAUAAGAGAAAUCUGAUACAAUAUGUGUAGAUUUUCAAACAUAUGUUCCCUAGCAGACAGUUAGUAAAAGGGAGAUAAUCAUUUCUUCAUAACAUUUGGUAGGAGCAGAAAUUUGAAUUCGAAAUUAAAGAAUAAGGAAGUUGAUAUGCAGAAUACACAUAUGUAUAUUUUUUUUUGCUUACUUAUGAUUGAAUGUCUUAAAAUCUAUAGUCUUAGAUAAUUAUGUGUAGCACCAUUUCAUUCUUUUUAGAAAUCAUCAGUGUGACAUACCUAAAGGUGUUUAAAUUAAACAUUAUGAUGCAUGACAUUUAUUAUAGAUGAAAUAUAUAUAUAUAUAAUUAUUUUUCAGAAUGACAUAAAAACCAAUGGUGUGAAGAUUUUAGAACAUUUAUGAAUA
Molecule: long non-coding RNA, 10269 nt
Filed under: Octopus vulgaris (common octopus)
Lineage: Eukaryota; Metazoa; Mollusca; Cephalopoda; Octopoda; Octopodidae
Source: RNAcentral